CAGAGAUGGAAGAGAGAAACUGCAACUCCAAAUGUAUCUCAGCAUCACUUAACUCUGAAGUGUAGCAGAAGGAGCAUCCAUGGAAGAGAUCUGGAGAGGUCCUGGAUGAGGACAUGACCUUCAGGAUGCCCUUUCCAUCACUCACCAAAUCAGCUGAGGAGCUCCUGUUACAGAACAGAUCUCAAAGCCAGCAAUAUCCAGGACACCAAUGAAGUACUGCCUGGGCUGCUUCGUGUCCAGCUGUUCAUUGAUGCGAACAACCAUCCACAGAAACAUCUUCUCAUAGACAGCCUUUGCCAGGGCACCCACUGAAUUGUACACCUAAACCAAAGAAGAGUGGAGCACAAGAAAUGCAAUAUCCAGAGCAAACAUCUUCCCGGCCCCGGAUUCUCCGCUGCCAAAGCCAAGAGAGAAGCAGAGGGUGCGUGGUCAGGCAGGAGGUGCCCUGGCACCGGGCAGCCCCACAGGGACUCGCGCAGGGGGUGUACGUACGUGAUCAGGAUGGACUGGUUCUCCCGAUCUGUGAAGAGACAGAA
Molecule: long non-coding RNA, 536 nt
Organism: Catharus ustulatus (Swainson's thrush)
Lineage: Eukaryota; Metazoa; Chordata; Aves; Passeriformes; Turdidae
Exons: 4
Source: RefSeq, a predicted model, not a curated record